RNAcentral lists this ribosomal RNA (434 nucleotides) under uncultured bacterium. Its description in RNAcentral is "partial 16S ribosomal RNA". It matches the Rfam family "Bacterial small subunit ribosomal RNA", at positions 29 to 507 of the family's 1533-position model. The record is from RNAcentral.
AGCGAACGCUGGCGGCAGGCCUAACACAUGCAAGUCGAACGAACCUUUCGGGGUUAGUGGCGGACGGGUGAGUAACACGUGGGAACGUGCCUUUAGGUUCGGAAUAACUCAGGGAAACUUGUGCUAAUACCGAAUGUGCCCUUCGGGGGAAAGGUUUAUCGCCUUUAGAGCGGCCCGCGUCUGAUUAGCUAGUUGGUUGAGGUAAUGGCUCACCACGGCGACGAUCAGUAGCUGGUCUGAGAGGAUGAUCAGCCACAUUGGGACUGAGACACGGCCCAAACUCCGACGGGAGGCAGCAGUGGGGAAUCUUGCGCAAUGGGCGAAAGCCUGACGCAGCCAUGCCGCGUGAAUGAUGAAGGUCUUAGGAUUGUAAAAUUCUUUCACCGGGGACGAUAAUGACGGUACCCGGAGAAGAAGCCCCGGCUAACUUCGUG